GGAGGGGGACCCUACCUCUAAAAUGCAUCUCUCUGGGGGACAUGACACCAAUGCUAAGAGCCCAAUCAAGCAGGAGAGACCAGCCUCCCCUGUACCCAGCUGUGUGUCCAUGAAGAGUGACCGGUCUAUGCUGCAACCUAUAGCGUUUAGAGAGGGGAGACUUUUCUACUGAACAAAGUGGAUGGUCUACUCUGUUAGAGGAUCAGUA
Non-coding RNA from Salmo salar (Atlantic salmon), 208 nucleotides. NCBI's taxonomy places the organism in Eukaryota, Metazoa, Chordata, Actinopteri, Salmoniformes, Salmonidae. The record is from RefSeq and is a predicted model, not a curated record.